UCCCGGUUGGCCCGGGCAGUCUCGCCUGAAAAAUUCAACAGACGACAAGGGUUGCGCUCGUUGCGGGACUUAACCCAACAUCUCACGACACGAGCUGACGACGGCCAUGCAGCACCUGUCACCAGGUUCCCGAAGGCACAGCGCUGUUUCUAGCGCCUUCCUGGGAUGUCAAACCUUGGUAAGGUUCUUCGCGUAGCUUCGAAUUAAACCACAUGAUCCUCUGCUUGUGCGGGUCCCCGUCAAUUCCUUUGAGUUUUAGCCUUGCGGCCGUACUCCCCAGGCGGCAUACUUAACGCGUUAGCUUCUCAGCACAGGGGGUCGAUACCCCAUACUAAUAGUAUGCAUCGUUUACGGCGUGGACUAC
Molecule: unclassified non-coding RNA, 364 nt
Filed under: uncultured bacterium
Lineage: Bacteria
Description: contains 16S-23S intergenic spacer region
Source: RNAcentral